Molecule: ribosomal RNA, 458 nt
Filed under: uncultured bacterium
Lineage: Bacteria
Description: partial 16S ribosomal RNA
Rfam family: Bacterial small subunit ribosomal RNA
Source: RNAcentral
CCUACGGGAGGCAGCAGUGAGGAAUAUUGGUCAAUGGGCGAGAGCCUGAACCAGCCAAGUCGCGUGAGGGAGUACUGCCCUAUGGGUUGUAAACCUCUUUUGUCGGGGAGCAAAAGCCGGACGUGUCCGGCUGUUAGAGUACCCGAAGAAAAAGCAUCGGCUAACUCCGUGCCAGCAGUCGGGGUAAUAAGGAGGAUGCGAGCGUUAUCAGGAUUUAGUGGGUUUAAAGGCUGCGCAGGCGGAUUUGUAAGUCAGCGGUAAAAUCGUGGGGCUCAACCCCAUCCAGCCGUUGACACUGGGGAUCUAGAGUGUGCGAGAGGUAUGCGGAAUGCGUGGUGUAGCGGUGAAAUUCAUAGAUAUCACGCAGAACCCCGAUUGCGAAGGCAGCAUACCGGUGCACAACUGACGCUCAGGCACGAAAGCGUGGGUAUCGAACAGGAUUAGAUACCCCAGUAGUC